UACGUAGGGUGCAGGCGUUAAUCGGAAUUACUGGGCGUAAAGCGUGCGCAGGCGGUUUGCUAAGACAGGUGUGAAAUCCCCGGGCUUAACCUGGGAACUGCGCUUGUAACUGGCAAGCUAGAGUGUGGCAGAGGGGGGUGGAAUUCCAGGUGUAGCAGUGAAAUGCGUAGAUAUGUGGAGGAAUACCGAUGGCGAAGGCAGCCCCCUGGGAUAACACUGACGCUCAGGAACGAAAGCCAGGGGAGCAAACGGG
This 253-nucleotide ribosomal RNA is filed under the name uncultured bacterium. RNAcentral describes it as "partial 16S ribosomal RNA". It matches the Rfam family "Bacterial small subunit ribosomal RNA", at positions 524 to 776 of the family's 1533-position model. The record is from RNAcentral.